Long non-coding RNA from Pezoporus occidentalis (night parrot), 6743 nucleotides. RefSeq lists it as uncharacterized. The record is from RefSeq and is a predicted model, not a curated record. NCBI's taxonomy places the organism in Eukaryota, Metazoa, Chordata, Aves, Psittaciformes, Psittacidae. The transcript has 4 exons.
GGAUUCAAUCUCAUGCAGUUUCCUGCAGAUGUGAGAAACAGUGCAGAGGAGAAGCUCCUGCUAUUGCUCAUGUCUUCAUCUGAAAGGGAGAGACUGCUCCUCACACUGCUGGUCACCUUCACACACAUGUACCUCUUGCUGUGCUGAUAAAGAUGAAGCCCGUUUCCCACCAGCUCAUCAGUGCUGAGAAGUUACUGUACUAGAGGCAACAGCACCUUUAUCUGGCAUUAUUUUGGAGACAAAGUGCACUUCUGAGGCUCAGCUGCCAUGGAAGGAUGAAGCUUUGUUGGGGAUAAAACCCCUCUGAGCCUGUAAAAUGGACUCAUGCCAGAGUUUUGUGCUAUAAAGGGAAAAGAAAGGCUGCAGAGACACCUGAAAUUAGCUCCACCCAGCCUCAGUUUUCAAUGUAGGCACUUUCUGGGUAAGGAAACAUAUUUCUGGGGACUUUUGGCUGAUUAACUUUUAUUUGUGACUCGUUUCAUUUCUGACUGAUGCAGGAUGCUUGUUGCUGGGCUACCUGGUUCAAGCGGAGGUAAUUUACAGGCCCGCUUACACCACAUUGUUCACCACUGUGAAUACAUUCUUGGUCUCAGCGCAUUAUGUCUACUUCCUUGGCAACUGAAAUGCUGGCUUGGACACGACAUGCAGUGAGUAAUAACUAAUAAUACAGCUUCCACUGUCACCUUUCAUAUGUUGUUUUUCAAUGGUAAAAUGAAUGCAACAAGCAGACAGAUCUAUGAGGAACCUGGCAGGUACUUAGCAGGUACUUGAAUAUUUGACUAGAGAUUUGGGUUUUUUUUCCAUUAUUCAUCCUAACUUGAAAACCUUUUGCUUGCAAGGACAGCUGCUAAAUGCUUUUGUACUGUUUAACCAGCUCUUUUAGCAGGCCCUGCUCUUGCAGGGUCAGCAAAAGCUGGCAUAUCCACAACACAAAGUUUUGCACGGGCUUGUGUUGCUCAAAGCCCCAAGGACACACCAGGAGCCCUGUGAAGCCAAUGACAAGCUUUCCUUCAAAUGCAGUGAAGCCCUGGCUGGGCGUCAGCUUCAUUAGCAUCAGACAUACCAGACAUUCAUGAAUGUUUGUUUGCUGUUUGGGGAGGGAGGGCAUUGCCAAUGGCAUGGCAGGAACAAGCGAUCCAUCUUCCUCAGCAGAAGUGAAGACAGGCCACUUCAGGUAGAGCUCUUGAUCUUGGCUUCCACCAAACCGGACUUCCCUUGGCAAGAAUUGAGUCAGGAGCUGUCAGACCCCCCUGGACUUGUAUCUGGUAUUAGGGAACAGCAAAUGCAUGGUUUUUUUCCUGCUCAUAAUGCAUUUCAUCAUCCAAUUGCAAACAGCAGCAAUAUUAUCUACCUGAACUCUCAGCUCUCCCUAGAUCAGCAGGGACCACUCCAGUGACCCCAGAGCUAGUGGCUACUUAGGUCAUGCAGGAAGUUCAGAAGACCUUCCUGACAAAUGCAAGUGUUAAAGUCACUGAGUGCUAAUUGCCAAGUAAAGCCUCUGCUGGCUACUACUAAUCAAUCUUUAGAUGCCACUAGGGAAAGAUAAAUAUGGAUUUUAUGGCACUUGGAUGAUAACAUAAACAAAGCCAUCAGAGCAAAUGGCAGAUCGUGACCGAUAAUGAUUUCCUGGGAGGUGAAGCAAAUGCCUCCUAUGGCAAUGAUCCACGUAAUUAGCUUGUACUGGAUUAUAAGGAUUUUGUGAUUGCAACUAAAAGCAGAAGGAAGCAUCAGCAUUAAGGAAAAUUGUAUCAUCAAAGAAGUACUCAGUUGGGAAGAUAGUCUAGUUUUAUGAGAAUUAUUACAGACUUGCUUUUAGGGCACAUUUUAAUCUUUCUCCCAGGUAAACUGAACACUAGGAAAACCUCCCCAGUUGUGCUAGCUCCUAAAGGGACAAGUGUGAUCAGAGAACUGCUGCCGUGUGAUGCAAAGGGAUGUGUCUACCCUUAAGGCAGGCUAGGGACUCGCUCUCAUCAGGUGUAAGGUCAUUUGUCAUCAAUCUUUACGCAGCCAAAUUCAGCAAGGUUGAUGGGCACAGAUGAGCAAGGUGAGCAACCAAGAACGUGUCACUGAAUUCCUGUGUAAGAUACAGUGAGUCAAAUUCCCUGCUCUACGUUUCCCGCUGUUUUUCAAGGCCAAAUUGUGGUCUCAGUGCUUGAGGUCUCAAGAUGAAACUGGAAGCUACAGGGGUGACCUCACCUCUGGGCAAAGCCACGGUCAGUGUAGCUCUGUGUGUUAUCAAGAGGGUAAAGGGCGUCAAACUGUACUUUCUAGUCACUGAUCAUAAGUAAGGGACUGAAAUCUGACCCCUGCGUUGCUUGAGCCCAGGGGAAUUUCUCUGGGCAGGGCCGUGGAAGCAGUAUUUCAGAGGCUUAGAAUGGGAUUUGUGUAUGAACAGCCACAGCCUUCGCUUGUGCAUGUUUUUAACCUCCUGUGUUCAUUUUGCUGCCUCCCAUUCCAGCUCCAUGGCAGGCUCAUCCUGUCACUGCUGCUAAUUUGCACUUGCUGCUGGCAUGGCUGUGGGUGAAAGCAGACAGAUGAGUAUUGGCAAGGAGCAGAGAGCUGAUCACAGCCUUGGACGCAUGGUCCUCUGCUUGUGCUCCAGGGAAUGAGCUCAGCUGAAUGGCAAAGCUCAGCCUUGGGGUUGUGCCAGACAGAAACCAUAAGUUUUGUUUCCAAACCUGACACUGCAACAGCUUCUUACAUGGAAUCCUACAGCCUGGCUUAGACGAGCAGAUGUCUAAUGGUCACUUAGUUUUUUAAUCCUGUUUUUUACGGCUUAGAUUCCACCUUCAAAGCCACUUUCUGGAUGCGAAAUAGCACUUGCUGGAGGUUAGUUCUAAGUUCAGCAUUAUUGCGAUGGUUUGCAGUGUUUGCAAAGUGGCCUGUUAUAUCUGCACUGCCUCGACUGCACACAAAACUCGGUCAGAAAUGGGAGUUGCUCCCGAAGGCUUGAUGCAGGUCCUGCCCCUGCAUCCCUUCCUAAACUGUGUCUCCAUAUCCUCAGCUUGGGCAAACAGCCACCUUUCUAAAAAUAUCCCAUCCCAGAACCCCCCAAAACAUCUUUAUAAAGUGGGAUUGAAGGAAUUACUGUGGUGUGGUGAAGCGUUUUCACAUCUGUACAUGCUGAAUAAUAUUAUUUAACUCCUAACUUUGGAGUUGUUAGUGGAUGUUAAAAGAUAAUUCUGUAUGUAACUAAUUAGCACUGGUACAAAGUUGGAGACACUGUAUGUUUUGUAUGCAUUUAUUCUUGUUACUAUCUGUAAGACGCUGUGAGCUUUAGCCCUAGCCCAGUACCGGGCUGUGAACAAGUAUCUUGUAGUGAUCUCACAGUAAAAUCACCAAUAGUUCUCUUACAGAAAAUCAGAAGCAUCAAUGAGGAAAGCAGUGAAUAAAAUCAUGUCUUUGCAAUGAGCACCUGUGAAGGACAGGGGAUUCCCAAUGGAACCCGUCCUUUUGGACAAAAUCUAUCCUGGGACCUGACUUACCUCAAAGGACCCGAGCAACCUUCUUCCAGCAAGAGACCAUUAGAAACCCUACACCAAUGAAAUCCAGCACCCUACAGUGACAAAGGAAAUCCCUGCCCACAAAUAUCCAACUUUGAUGCCAGAAAGUAUUGUACGUUCUCUGACAGGGCCUGAUGCUGCAGGUAGGUGGAGCAGGCACCGCAGUGAGUAGCAUACAUCUCUCUCAGUGGCUGUCCUCAGCAAAUACCCAUUGAUUCAUUGAUACUUGUCACCACAAGUCCAAGAGAACUGGCUUAGAUCAGAGCAAUCUUCUGCUCUUUCUUAAGAUAACAGAAGCUAGAGCUUAACAAUAUGAUUUAUUAAAAAUGCUGUAGGAAGGACAAUUUCAGCAAGAACUAAAAAUGCCACUAACCAAUCAGCUGCAGAGGGACUUGUUCACUCCAUGAAUUCCCUAUUCACAGAAUUUCCCACUCCUGCUGAAUCAUUGUUACUGUCUUUCCAGCAGAGAGGAGCUGCACCGUGAGCAAAAGUGAAUAACACCACCUUUUUGUCUGACUUCUUUCCUUUAAUGAUUAAUAUGGUGGUGACUUUUUUAGGAUCCACUUGAGCUGAAUCAAGCAUCAGCUCUAAUAUGUUAUUAGCAUUAGCUUCACAGCUGAUUAGAGUAACUAUUUUGCAGGAAAAGUGUAACCAAAGCAGCCAGGAAAUGCUCUGAAGUCCACUGAAAACAAAACCCCAACCAACAAAGCACAUUCAUCACAAACAGUUAUAUAGAUUGUCUGUGCAGUUAAUUGUGCCAGAAGUUAGGAAGCAGUUACAGGCUGCCAAAUGCCAUUGGAUCAAAUGGCUUGACAGCAAGAAAGCAAAAUAACUAACCUAGAAAGGUCAGCACUGGACAUAAGAAAGGCCUCUUCUUGAAGCAGUUGUCUCUCUAUUAGGGAGAAAACAUUUUGGAAGGGAAAGAAGUGGAGUUUCUACCUUGCCUUGCAAGGUUCUGAAGCACAGUGGAGGAUACAUUGACCUCUCCAUUUGCCUGGAGUCCUAACACUGACUCCAAAGAGCUGAGAUUUCACAGCCACGGUAAGCAGGUAGAAGAAGGAACAUCUUUAACAGAGCAAGGCAUUCUUCAUUUCCUAUCUUAGUGCCAAUUACAACUGCAGUUUUUCUUCACAGGUCACAAACAGAAGCAUGUAAGCACAUGCUUAACUUGCCUCUGUUCAAAGAAGGCCUUUUAAUGAACUGCAAACACAUGUUUAAAUCCUUUCCUUGAUAAAGCUGCUUUCCUGAAUUGGGAUGUAACAGUGAAUUUGACACAGAGCUGUGUGAACAGUAAUACUCGCUUUCCAUUUGUAGCGUUUUUCGUUACAAGGAACAACCUUGCUGAUGGAGGUAACUGGACAGGGAAUGCUUCUGUUGGCUUUCGUGUUGCUGACUGGGUUUCAUUUGAAGAAGCCUUGUAAGGACAGCUACCAGAGAGAGACAUUGCCUGCAAGAGAAGCAGCCCCAGAUGAACACUGACAGCCUUGAAGUGGAGCAGACAGAUGGAGUCAUGUUUGCCAGAGUCCCACAAGCCUUUAUUAAAAGCAGGCAGUUCUGAUGACUGCACAGAAAGGGAACAAGUUAGGUGUUAAAGGAGGCAGCGUGCUCUGUAAUACGUGAUUGCAUUAGCGGUUUAGAGGCAGGGCUUCACCUUUCCAGGUGGAAGGCACAGUGCUGAAGACCGUCCCCCCUGGCACAGACCUCUCCCCAUGCAACCUUGCCCAGGAACUCGGAGGAAAAAGCAGUGACUUUAUUUACCCAGCAAACAUGCUGAGUAAUAGCGAAUCUCCAACCAAAGUCCUUCCCACAGCUGCCUCCAGAGCACUCAGCAGCACCCGGUGCAGAACACCCUGCAGAACCAGCCCAGCUUUCUGUCUAGCUUUGCACUCCCUUGUCACCCAGUGCAGGGCUGGCACGAGGCUGGGUGCCAGAGUCAGAGUCACUCCUCCCCUCAGCACGCAGUUUAUGGUACACAGGCAGAUUCGGAGACGGGUCCUUCCACAUGUGCAGUCCGGAAGCUGAGCUGAGAAAGAAUUGGGUGAGUCAAGAACAAUGCCUGGAAGCCUCAAAAAUACCCAACGACAAAAAACCUGGAGUCCUCCCUACUCCGAAGACACAGCAUUCUCCUCAAAAGCAUAGGCAGGAACACCCUGUUCUCCUGCAACACACCAUUUAUGGCUUCAUUGAGUACCUUUGUCAGUCACUUUCCUGUUAAUCUGAACAUUUAUAAUGUUGCCAGAUGGACAGCCUUAAAUUUAGGAACUAUCCCUGUUCCUCCUGGAUGCUGAUGUUGGAAUACAAUAGAAAAGCCUGGGAACAGCAGUGCAGAGCAAACUGGUUCAUGAGAAAGAGUCCAGGGAAGAGGCAGCGACGUGAACUCUUGCACGGUCUGUGCCUGACCUGGCUGGCAACGGGACUGUGCUGCCACAGGGAUCGUUCCUCAAAGCUCCUGUAUCGGCAGGCAAUGAAGGCAACAGUGGCUGCUGGGUCCCACAGGACAAAACCAUAAACCCAGUCCCAUUCACCAGGGAGCAGUGGAAGGCCUGAGGAACCAUUAUUACCCCUUGCCUGGGAAGAAACUGUGCCCUCCCUCUCUCCUGAGCUAUAUGGCCCAUGUCUUCUGGCUUUUGGCCCCAGGAGGAGUUCAGCAUUCAGUCUGGUAUAGUAGGAAGAGCUAUCUCACAACAAGGGCAGGAUCAAGAACAUGCCCCUUAAGGAGAAGACAGCAGCAGAUUGACCAGUGGUGUGGUAUCCUUUAGCAAAGUAAGAGGUCUUGUGGUGAAGAAACGUUAUCCCUAAGGGUGGUACUGAUACUGAUAUCCUGUUUAUUCCAUUUACAAGCACUCAGUCUUACAAGAAGUUUUCUUACUACAAGCAAACUACAAAAACAUCAUGGGGGCGAAAGAGUAAUGCUCAGCUUCAGUAAUUCCUGAAGUCCAGCCAAUGAGGCAUCGAGCUCCUCAUCCUCCCUUCCUUCCGAGCUAAAUUCCAUGGGAUUGACACCAAUCCCUGUAAAUUUAUAACCUGCCCCACCUUCAGGAAUUAAAAAAGCUUUGAGCUGUACCAGUUUCUUUGACCCAGUAUCUUAAAAUCGGUUAAUUCUUCCUUAUAAACUAAUGGCCCUGCGUGGGGGUGAGGAGGAGAGGACAUGGGCAUGUUCUGUUUCAGUGUGAUUGCUGGUCAGCUUCCUGGCUAUUUACAACAUCUUAUUAAAUGGUGUUACAGCACACGGGAAGCCAA